GACGAACGCUGGCGGCGUGCCUAAUACAUGCAAGUUGAGCGCUGAAGGUUGGUACUUGUACCAACUGGAUGAGCAGCGAACGGGUGAGUAACGCGUGGGGAAUCUGCCUUUGAGCGGGGGACGACAUUUGGAAACGAAUGCUAAUACCGCAUAAAAACUUUAAACACAAGUUUUAAGUUUGAAAGAUGCAAUUGCAUCACUCAAAGAUGAUCCCGCGUUGUAUUAGCUAGUUGGUGAGGUAAAGGCUCACCAAGGCGAUGAUACAUAGCCGACCUGAGAGGGUGAUCGGCCACAAUGGGACUGAGACACGGCCCAAACUCCUACGGGAAGCAGCAGUAGGGAAUCUUCGGCAAUGGACGAAAGUCUGACCGAGCAACGCCGCGUGAGUGAAGAAGGUUUUCGGAUCGUAAAACUCUGUUGGUAGAGAAGAACGUUGGUGAGAGUGGAAAGCUCAUCAAGUGACGGUAACUACCCAGAAAGGGACGGCUAACUACGUG
RNAcentral lists this ribosomal RNA (497 nucleotides) under uncultured bacterium. RNAcentral's name for it is "partial 16S ribosomal RNA". It matches the Rfam family "Bacterial small subunit ribosomal RNA", at positions 28 to 507 of the family's 1533-position model. The record is from RNAcentral.